GAAAUUUUUUAUCUCUUUUGGCGGUUGGAAAUGGCUCUGGCACGGUGGCAGGUGGCGGCGGCUCUCCUUUUCGGCGGCUGGGUCUUCUUCUCCAGCGAGGGUGUCUGGCGGCUAGGGUUAGGGUUUGGUGUGAAAAGGGUUAUUUAUAUCCAUUCUCAUUUAAUUUGUGCCAUCCAUCGUGUUUGAUAUGAACUGUCUGAUCGCGAUUAAAUAAGGAGUGAAUCUAGGUCGUCCAUCGCGAUUUAAUUUGGAUCGUCCGAUCACGUUUAAAUAGGAAGUAGAUCUAGACCAUUGAUCGCUUUUAAAUUUGAUCGUCUGAU
This 320-nucleotide long non-coding RNA is filed under the name Carica papaya (papaya). RNAcentral's name for it is "long non-coding RNA (CPAP_LNC008916)". The record is from RNAcentral. Lineage: Eukaryota; Viridiplantae; Streptophyta; Magnoliopsida; Brassicales; Caricaceae.